CUUCGGGGACGACCCCGAAGGUUGCACGCCAAGCCGGGACGGCCCGG
This 47-nucleotide non-coding RNA is filed under the name Magnetospirillum sp. RNAcentral's name for it is "Guanidine-II sequence". It matches the Rfam family "Guanidine-II riboswitch aptamer (mini-ykkC)". From Rfam's summary of the family: Simpler in structure and has fewer highly conserved nucleotide positions than the ykkC-yxkD leader. Despite this each of its two stem-loop structures directly bind free guanidine. The record is from RNAcentral. Lineage: Bacteria; Pseudomonadati; Pseudomonadota; Alphaproteobacteria; Rhodospirillales; Rhodospirillaceae.